Molecule: ribosomal RNA, 110 nt
Filed under: Jejuia pallidilutea
Lineage: Bacteria; Pseudomonadati; Bacteroidota; Flavobacteriia; Flavobacteriales; Flavobacteriaceae
Source: RNAcentral
UUUAAGGUGGUUAUAGCGACGGGGCUCACCUCUUACCAUUCCGAACAGAGAAGUUAAGCCCGUUAGCGCCGAUGGUACUGCACUUGUGGAAGAGUAGGUCGCCGCCUUUU